Mycena leptocephala is the source of this 91-nucleotide non-coding RNA. The record is from the annotation of a GenBank genome assembly. Lineage: Eukaryota; Fungi; Basidiomycota; Agaricomycetes; Agaricales; Mycenaceae.
GGCCUCCUGGUGUAGUGGUAACACAUCCUCUGUUGAUAAGCAAUGGAGGGUCUUCAUGAGGAAAUCCCUUGUUCGAAUCAAGGUGGGGCCA